CUCACUGGUUCCAUGGUUCUGAGGAUGAGAAGGAUGAAGAGCUCAGCAACCCUCCGAAUCUUGGCAGCAGAGCUCUGUGCGGGGAAACGCUGCGGAGACAUUGGGCUACAUCUGAAUAACGCAGUUCCACUGACAGCAUUCGAGGAACACCAGGAGAAGAGAGAGCCUAAGUUUGUCAAACGUAUUGUUUGUGGUGAAUUAUCCACAGCACCUGCUGUACUUUGCGUGCUGCCAAAGCUGGCCUUGGAAAGCGGCUAA
Molecule: long non-coding RNA, 258 nt
Filed under: Cyanistes caeruleus (blue tit)
Lineage: Eukaryota; Metazoa; Chordata; Aves; Passeriformes; Paridae
Description: lncRNA (ENSCCEG00000003037.1)
Source: RNAcentral